Molecule: long non-coding RNA, 1862 nt
Organism: Oryzias latipes (Japanese medaka)
Lineage: Eukaryota; Metazoa; Chordata; Actinopteri; Beloniformes; Adrianichthyidae
Source: RefSeq, a predicted model, not a curated record
GUGCAUUUUCUUGGGGCCUCCCCUGAGUUCCCAGCAAUCACCAGGGGGUACAUACUAUAAUGGCUGAAUUUAUGUGCAACACCUUCCUUUAAGGUCUGAGGUGGUUCCAGAGAGCUACCCGCGGUGCUCUGAGCUCCCUCCUGAAGCCUGGAGGGGCUGCAGCAGAGCGGCUGGAGACCAGCAGGAGGGGACACCCAGACGUUAUUCCAGCUGCAUGUCAUCUGUCCUCUUCAUUCAUCCCCUUCAAAGUGUUCAUAGAUGCUGGGACCCCGAGUCAGGACAAGGAGCAGCUCUCCUGAGGUGGAAGUGAAAGUGGCAAUUAGCCAGAGCCUUUGAGAAAAGCUGCUCGUUAGGCCUGAUAUCUGCAGCCUUAUUUAAAGAGAGUGGUGCGAGCCUGUGCUGCAUGCUGGGAUGUGCUUGGCAGGUGGACGCUUUAAAUGAAAGGUCUCGUGUUGUUGCCUGUAAAAGCUGCAAGUUGCUACAGAUGAAAAGGAAAUCCUCCUUGUCUAUCCAUGCCAGAUCCUGAUAGAUCUCCUUUCAUUUGUCCACAACGAUCCAGGCCUGAAGGCUGAUGCUCUCCCCCCACAUGCAGUUGGUUGCAGUAGUUUGACGUUGUGGUUUGAUGCAGAGAUGAUUUUACAUGGAGGCCCAGAAAAGGUUCAGAUGGGACUCUGGUUGGAAGCUGAAUAUUUUACCUGCUGCAGGUUGGAACUCCAGCCGCCAUCUGGAGGAUGAAGAACCACAGAAGGUUGCUCUUGGCUGUGAGUGAGGCUGCUAUGAACUGAUGGAGGUUUGAAGCCAAAACUGGGAUGCCCUCCUCUGUCAGUUUUCAGGAUAUGUGGAUGGCGUCUGCCGGUCAUCCAGCUGCCCGUUUUCCACCCUCCUUCUGAGCAACACUUUUCCUGUCAAAGAAACCGCACUCGAACGGCUCACACAUGUGGGUCAUUAGAGCCCAGAGAGAAGAGCCGCACCAUUUUCCAAACCUCUGUGUCCAUUUUCACAUUUUGUCCUGGAACUCAGCUCCAGAAGGAAACCCCCAGACGAGAACUACUGAAACACAAUAUCCAGAAUCGCAUGGAAAGCGUGCGGUUUGGCCAAAACUGUUCCCACUGCAGUAAAACCGAUACUCCACUCUGAGGCGGUCCUGCAGGGGUCUUCCACGUCCACACAUCGCUUCCUUUUUGAUUCAUUUUUUUAAGGAUCUACACUUUUCCAAAAGUCAUCCCAAAAAACCCCCCACAAAUUUUAUAUAAAGUUCAAAAAUAUUUAUUUUGGACAAGUGAACACAAGUGUAGAUAACAAAAAUAGACAAUACAAGACAAAAUUAUCUUAUAAACUCUCACCCCCUCUACCUUAAGUCAUGACUUUCCUAAACCCAGUACUUCCAUCACCAUCAAAGUCCAGUGCCCUACCCAAAUGUACAUUCAGUUACAGCUGCACAUGUAAUUCUCAUUUCCAAAAGCACCCAAAUGAAUAAAACAAUCUCAUUUUAUAACCAAGCACAUUUACGAAUGCUGAUGUUCUGUAUUGUUUUGUAUUUGUACAAAUUUAUCAAUGAUCAUAUUUCUGUAUUUAUACUUAAACUCGUUUAUGUUUGGACAUCGUUUCAAGCAUUUACUGGUUCUGUUCCACAGCUUCACUCCAAAAAUUGAAACACAAAAUCUUUUUUUAUUUAUACUUGCUUUAUGUAAGAGAAAUUUAUUUUUUCCCCCUAAAAUGGUAUUUUUCCUCACAUUUAGUAAAAAACCUUUGGAUAUUUUUUUUCUGCCUUAAAUAUUAUUUGAGCUGUACAAUACUCUACUAGACCAUAAAAUGUUAGUAAUUGUGAUUGUAUAAACAAUUUGUUUGUGUGCUCAAGGAAA